RNAcentral lists this long non-coding RNA (227 nucleotides) under Elaeis guineensis (African oil palm). RNAcentral's name for it is "long non-coding RNA (EGUI_LNC078066)". The record is from RNAcentral. Lineage: Eukaryota; Viridiplantae; Streptophyta; Magnoliopsida; Arecales; Arecaceae.
UCCUAGAAGCCAAUAUGGCUGACACAUUGUAAUCAAUUUAGGAUAUAAUUUUAUACUUAAUAUAUUGAUAUGAUCAAUAAAAAGAUAAUUUUUUUUUAUUCCAGUAUAAUGUGUCCGUGAAUCAUCCAUGAAAUUAGUUUCAAUACAUACUCUUAAGGUAUUGAGAAUUAAAGAUAUAUAUUUAAUUCCUAAAGACUCUCGAUCAUAGGAUCAUCAUGAGGAUGGUG